Molecule: small nucleolar RNA, 106 nt
Filed under: Phaseolus vulgaris (common bean)
Lineage: Eukaryota; Viridiplantae; Streptophyta; Magnoliopsida; Fabales; Fabaceae
Description: Plant small nucleolar RNA R71
Rfam family: Plant small nucleolar RNA R71
About the family: R71 is a member of the C/D box family of snoRNAs containing the C (UGAUGA) and D (CUGA) box motifs.
Source: Rfam by way of RNAcentral
AACCCAUGAUUUGGGAAUUUUCUGAGUAUCAUUUUAAAUCGUUCUCAUGUCUCACAGAGUGAUUCAUCUGCUCCUUGUCUGAACACAGAAAUUUCAGACUUUGCUU